GUGAAUCAUCAAAUUUUUGAACGCAAAUUGCACUCUCUGGUAUUCCGGAGAGUAUGCCUGUUUGAGGUUCAGUUUAUUUAAAAAUCGGAGUGGUUGAUGCCUUUCGUGGUGACGCACCGGAUUUGGGUUGUCUUGCCUUCGGUUAAGUGACCUAAAAUUUUGCAUGAUUUUUUUCGAUCGUAUUUAAAUGAUUUUAUGUACGUUUUCUAUAUCGAAUACUAAGAUUGGUCAUACUCAUGAUUCGCUCCUAUA
This 252-nucleotide unclassified non-coding RNA is filed under the name Glomus sp. RNAcentral describes it as "partial contains 5.8S ribosomal RNA and internal transcribed spacer 2". The stretch from base 1 to 71 matches the Rfam family "5.8S ribosomal RNA", at positions 84 to 154 of the family's 154-position model. The record is from RNAcentral. Lineage: Eukaryota; Fungi; Glomeromycota; Glomeromycetes; Glomerales; Glomeraceae.